This 1184-nucleotide long non-coding RNA is filed under the name Vulpes vulpes (red fox). RNAcentral describes it as "lncRNA (ENSVVUG00000001242.1)". Lineage: Eukaryota; Metazoa; Chordata; Mammalia; Carnivora; Canidae. The record is from RNAcentral.
AUAACACAUUUAGGAAUUUAAGAUGCAUUAAUAAUCUAUUCAGGGCUCCAGCGGUGGUAUAUGAGUAUGGAUGCUGAGAGUCAAAGGAAUAAGCUUGUUUUUUUUAAUGCCCUAGUUUCCUGCUAUGCAAAUAUCUAGGAGCAUUAAAAAGAUGAAACGCAGAUAUCUGCUACAUAUAUUGUUAAUACUGCCCACAUUUAUAGUGUGGACAAGUGAUGAGGAAUAAUAAUUAUAAUGAAGCAGUUUUAAACAGGUUCAGGAAGAAUUAGCCAUAAGGAAGAUACUGCUGAGAUGCUUAUGAAAGCUAUGGAGUUGUCCCUUGUGAUGUGCUUUGUCAGGCAGAACUAAUUAUCUGUGGAUGAUAAGAGAAAAUAUGGUGAAAAACAGCAGCCAUUUCCCAUAGCGGGAGUAUCCAUUUAAAACCCAACAACUCCCUGAACCAUGAGAUAAUUGAAACAGUACCAAAGCUGGCAUGAAUAACAAGGCCUGUACUGUCUUUCUUGGAAAGUUGGAGGUGGGGGGCGAGGGAGGCAGUGAAAAUAACUUCAAACACAUCUCAGAAAAAUUAAAUUUUAUUCCAACUGAUCGACGUUAUCCAAUUAGAAAAAGAAGGGAGUUAUUAAACGUACCCAAAGUAGGCUUUCUAACCAGAAAAUUAACUUAGCUUCCCCCAGUUUGCAGAUGGCAUAAUCUGAUGUCUCUCGACUUCAUACUUUGCAAUUUUAACACAAAAGCGAACCUUAAAGAUUUUUUUUUAGUGUGUCUUUGCCUGUGUAUUCAGCAACCAAAAUGAACAUUUAAGGGUCUUGAUAAAUGUUUUUUCCAAAUGAAAAGAGAUGUUAUCUCAGAAUACUUACAUAUUUUAACCAAACUUUCAGAAUCUGUAUCAAAAAGGAAGUUAUUUUUGAACUCAGGAUUCCUGUAAUAGCAGCAAAGAAUGAUUUACAGACUUGAUGGCUGCUGAUUCAGUCUCAUACUGUCCUGCUUCAACAUCUCAAAAUUUCCAGAGCUGGGACAUUGUCUCAGGAAGUCCUCAAGACCCAGCAGCCUCUAUGGAUCUUUUUGCUCUACUUAGACUGCAGCUUUUUUUUAUCCUGGUACCUAGAUGGCUGCUGCAACUCCAGGCAUCACAGCAGCGCUCUGCUCAAGAGGAAGAAGAGAAGGUCAAAUGGCAAAAACCUUGA